AGGUAUGAUCUCGUGCUCCGUGGGAGUUGUAUCCUGUGCUUCCUGGGAGGUGUGAUAUCAUGGUU
This 65-nucleotide microRNA precursor is filed under the name Pan troglodytes (chimpanzee). RNAcentral describes it as "miRNA". Lineage: Eukaryota; Metazoa; Chordata; Mammalia; Primates; Hominidae. The record is from RNAcentral.